Molecule: unclassified non-coding RNA, 538 nt
Filed under: Hevea brasiliensis (rubber tree)
Lineage: Eukaryota; Viridiplantae; Streptophyta; Magnoliopsida; Malpighiales; Euphorbiaceae
Source: RNAcentral
UGCUCUCUAAAGUGCCCAGUAUCAGAAGACACUGGAACCAGCAAACCUUGUGAGAACUCGAAGAUGAAGAAAUCCGAAUCUCUUUCUUCCUUAUCUGGGUUGACAAUCUUAAGAAACAAGGCUCCUAGGUGGCAUGAGCACCUGCAAUGCUGGUGCUUGAAUUUUCAUGGUCGGGUUACAGUAGCAUCUGUUAAAAACUUUCAACUCGUCGCUACUAUUGACCAUAGCCAGCCAGGAGGUAAAGGGGAUGAAGAAACAGUUCUACUACAGUUUGGAAAGGUAGGCGACGAUAUGUUUACUAUGGAUUAUAGGCAGCCAUUAUCAGCUUUCCAGGCUUUCGCCAUUUGCCUUACGAGCUUUGGCACGAAGCUGGCGUGCGAAUAGUAGUAUAUUUUUCCAAAAUUUGUUUAAGAAAAUGGGGCUUCAUUGAUGAAAAAAAAAGGCUUUUCUUUGUACAUGGUGCUAUUAUUGUGUAAUUGUGACCACUUAAAAAAAAAUUGAAAUUCAGAGCAACAAAACAAUAUUGUGUGCUAGCAAG